This 497-nucleotide ribosomal RNA is filed under the name uncultured bacterium. RNAcentral describes it as "partial 16S ribosomal RNA". It matches the Rfam family "Bacterial small subunit ribosomal RNA", at positions 28 to 507 of the family's 1533-position model. The record is from RNAcentral.
GAUGAACGCUGGCGGCGUGCCUAAUACAUGCAAGUCGAGCGAACGGACGAUGAGCUUGCUUCUCUGAUGUGAGCGGCGGACGUGUGAGUAACACGUGGAUAACCUACCUAUAUUACUGAGAUAACUUCGGGAAAGCGGAUCUUAUACCGUAUAAUCUUUUGAACCGCAUGGGUCGAAAGUGAAAGUCGGCCUUUGUGUAUCUUCUAGAUGCAUCGGCGCUGCAUUAGCUAGUUGGUAAGGUAACGGCCUACGAAGGCAACGAUGCAUAGCCGAACUGAGAGGGUGAUCGGCCACACGGGAAGUGAGACGCCGUCCAGACUCCUACGGGAGGCAGCAGUAGGGAACGUUCCGCAAUGGGGGAGAGCCUGACGGAGCAAGCCGGCGUGAGAGAUGACGGUCUUCGGAUCGUAAAACUCUGUUAUUAGGGAAGAACAUAUGUGUAAGUAACUGUGCACAUCGUGACGGUACCUAAUCAGAAAGCCACGGCUAACUACGUG